AGCUGGCCGGGCAAGUCCAUCGGGAAAUCCCACCUGCUCAACAGGUGGGCGACCGGUGGAAACUGCCUGGCUUGGGAUCGGAAGGCUCAGAGAGUACGUCCGGGGUAGGAGUGAAAUCCCGUAAUCCCGGACGGACUACCGAUGGCGAAAGCACUCUGAGAAGACGACUCCGACAGUGAGGGACGAAAGCUCGGGUCUCAAACCGGAUUAGAUACCCGGGUAGUCCGAGCCGUAAACGAUGCUCGUUAGGUGUGGCACCCACUACGAGUGGGUGCUGUGCCGCAGGGAAGCCGCUAAACGAGCCGCCUGGGAAGUACGUCCGCAAGGAUGAAACUUAAAGGAAUUGGCGGGGGAGCACUACAACCGGAGGAGCCUGCGGUUUAAUUGGACUCAACGCCGGACAUCUCACCAGCCCCGACAUCAGUAAUGACAGUCAUGUUGACGACAUCUGCUCGAGCUGAUGAGAGGAGGUGCAUGGCCGCCGUCAGCUCGUACCGUGAGGCAUCCUGUUAAGUCAGGCAACGAGCGAGAUCUACAUCCCUAAUUGCCAGCACCACCGCUAGGUGGGUGGGUACAUUAGGGAGACUGCCAGUGCUAAACUGGAGGAAGGAGUAGGCAACGGUAGGUCCGCAUGCCCCGAAA
RNAcentral lists this ribosomal RNA (642 nucleotides) under uncultured Halobacteria archaeon. Its description in RNAcentral is "bacterial SSU rRNA". It matches the Rfam family "Archaeal small subunit ribosomal RNA", at positions 523 to 1161 of the family's 1478-position model. Lineage: Archaea; Methanobacteriati; Methanobacteriota; Halobacteria. The record is from RNAcentral.